ACGAAUACGGCUCGCGGUGCUACGAAUGCUAAACAGCGGAAUAUCGUUGCCGCUACGGGUAAUCACCCAGGUCGGUUCGCUCAGACGGUUGCCACGGCAUUUGCUCGCAAAGCCCAGAAUCAGGCAGGUGCAGCUGCUGUUACGAUCUUUCAUCAGCCACACGGUAUGAUCCACCAGCUGGCUCGCCACGCCCAGCACAUAUUUGGUCACGGUGUUUUCCCAAAACAGACGCACGGUGCUAUGGGUCGCAUCGCCCAGUUACAUAAACGGGCUCACCAGGCCACGGGUGCUAUCGCUACGGUUUUAAAUGCUUUACACGCCAUGAUACGCGCCGGUGCUUUAGCCGCUCAGGCCACGGCUGUUUUAAAUGCACAGGUUGCCCAGACGCGGGUUCAGCACGGUCAGGCUUUAAUCCACGCUACGACGGUUUUACAGACGGCUCAGCGCCACGCACGCGGUGCUACGAUCUUCGCUCGCGCUCAGGGUUUCCGGCAGAUAUUAAUGAAUACGGCUACGGUUAUCUUUGCUAUCCAGUUACGGGUUAUCGGUGCCAUGACGGCAUUACGCCUGCAGACGUUCCGCCACAAACACAAUCGCAAACACUUACGGAUACAGACGCGCGCCGGUUUCAUAGCCGCCCACCAUCUGGUUAAACAGCAGGCCAAUCGGGCUCAGAUCACGAUACACUUAGCCGCAGUUCAGAUGGUUAUGCUGGCUAAUGGUCAGUUAGCCUUUAUCGCUAAACCAAAACAGCAGCAUCGGGCCGCUAAAAAAAUACAUAAUAAUCGCCAGGCCGGUUUAAAUGUUCAGGGUCAGCGGUUAGUUGCCCUGAAAACGGCACCACGCCAGGUUCCAAUGGGUCGGUUAAAUCGGUUUAAAAUACUGAUGGCUUUACGGUUUUUCCGGGCUCAGCGGCAGCCAGCCCAUAAUCAGGGUCUGAUCCUGGCUCGCGCCCACAUACGCAUAUUACGCCUGUUUGGUCUGGCUAAAUUCGUUGCCGCCGCAAUACAGCGGCACGGUCUGGUUCAGGCCAAUGUUAAAAUGGUUGUUUUUGUUAUACGGAUCAUACAUGCUAUAAUGAUCUUUAUAUUCACGCGCAUAGUUAUAGCCGCCAUCCAGGGUCAGGCUCGGUUCAUCCCACAGAUCGCCGGUCAGAUGCUGACGUUCCACAUCACGGCUCAGAUAAUGGCCCACAAUGUUGGUCAGAUCUUCUUAGCAGCUUUCAAUGCUCUGCACUUCAUCUUA
Molecule: ribosomal RNA, 1245 nt
Filed under: uncultured bacterium
Lineage: Bacteria
Description: partial 16S rRNA
Source: RNAcentral